This 243-nucleotide ribosomal RNA is filed under the name uncultured bacterium. RNAcentral's name for it is "partial 16S ribosomal RNA". It matches the Rfam family "Bacterial small subunit ribosomal RNA", at positions 524 to 766 of the family's 1533-position model. The record is from RNAcentral.
GACGAACCGUGCGAACGUUGUUCGGAAUCACUGGGCUUAAAGGGCGCGUAGGCGGGCCCGCAAGUUAGGGGUGAAAUCCCACGGCUCAACCGUGGAAGUGCCUUUGAUACUGCGGGUCUCGAGGGAGGUAGGGGCGUGCGGAACUUCCGGUGGAGCGGUGAAAUGCGUAGAUAUCGGAAGGAACACCGGUGGCGAAAGCGGCGCGCUGGACCUCUUCUGACGCUGAGACGCGAAAGCCAGGGG